Long non-coding RNA from Engraulis encrasicolus (European anchovy), 914 nucleotides. RefSeq lists it as uncharacterized. NCBI's taxonomy places the organism in Eukaryota, Metazoa, Chordata, Actinopteri, Clupeiformes, Engraulidae. The record is from RefSeq and is a predicted model, not a curated record. The transcript has 3 exons.
UAUGAAAUUACUGGUGAAGUGAUUCAAAGGUUGUGGGUUCGAGUCCCACCGGAGUCGAGUUUUGACGUUGAGGGAUGCGGGAUAGCGGGCAGCAUCCGGGAUUCACCUGUUCUCCCAUUUUUGUUUUGAGAGGGCAAAGAGGCCCAGAGGAGCGGUUGCAGCUAAAGUUUGAUGGAGAGGCAAAGGUGGGGUAAAGAGAAAGGAAGAAGUGAUGACUGCCUCUCGCAUCUCUCGGAAGGCUUAAGGCAGAGACCCGGACGGAGCGACUAUAUCUGAUCGUACAUGUCCUUGGAUAAACCCCAAGCAGGCACGCAAGAAAUCCAGGGCGAUAGCUCAGUAUCAGGCCGCUGUGGAAGACAUGUCUACAUAGGGAAGGAUCCCUAUUUAAACGCUGCAUAUUCUUCAACUUUUGAAUUCCGUCUAACCCCAACCGCACAAGAAUGUGAGAUGACGCAACCGUCAAAGCACGCUGUGAGAACAUUUAUCAAGUGACUCUCCGAUUGCUUACAGUGAAGCAGCAACAUGAAGCGUCAAUGCGAAUUUGACACAUAAAUGCCUAAUCAUUUAAUUUUGCUACCGAGAAAAACUAAUCGUGUACAGCUCAAUUUCAAAUGUAGUCGCAUGAUGUCUGGUGUUUGUGUGACAUGUUGUGUUGUGUGACAUGUUGAUUGGCAGGCUGUUGCGGCUAUUGUAAGCAAUGGAUUCUCUUUCUUUGGCACAUUCAUGUAUAUAGGGCUACCUUAUAACUUGAAUAGUGAUACACAAAAUAAAGAAUGAAAUAUGCAGUCGCAGCAUUCAAGCAUGCUACAUUUAAACGCAACACACAAUAUAUUUCUAACAGUAGGCCUAUAUGCUCCUACUUUUGUUUAAAAAAAUAUUGAAAGCAAUAAUAGUAAUUAAAAUAAAACAAUAAU